UGAAUAGUACGUAUGGCCUGUUAGCUCAGCUGGUCAGAGCGUGGUGCUAAUAACGCCAAGGUCAUGGGUUCAAUCCCCAUGCAGGCCA
Poecilia formosa (Amazon molly) is the source of this 88-nucleotide microRNA precursor. Lineage: Eukaryota; Metazoa; Chordata; Actinopteri; Cyprinodontiformes; Poeciliidae. The record is from Ensembl.